RNAcentral lists this transfer RNA (69 nucleotides) under Oedalechilus labeo (boxlip mullet). Its description in RNAcentral is "tRNA-Phe". It matches the Rfam family "tRNA". From Rfam's summary of the family: Transfer RNA (tRNA) molecules are approximately 80 nucleotides in length. Lineage: Eukaryota; Metazoa; Chordata; Actinopteri; Mugiliformes; Mugilidae. The record is from RNAcentral.
GCUAGCGUAGCUUAACUAAAGCAUAACACUGAAGAUGUUAAGAUGGGCCUUAAAAUUGUCCCGAAAGCA